Molecule: non-coding RNA, 433 nt
Organism: Caenorhabditis elegans
Lineage: Eukaryota; Metazoa; Nematoda; Chromadorea; Rhabditida; Rhabditidae
Source: Ensembl
UUCAAAAAUGAAAACACAAAACAUGACGGAAAAUGAAAUAAGAGUGAAGCCAGUUUCGAGCCGAAAGUGGUGGACAUUGUGCGGGUGUGUGCUUAUUUGCUGCUUGGAGCUGGACAGUAUGGAAGGGUCAGAAAAGAGGGAGCAAAGGGCAGACAGUUGGAGGGACACAGAGUGUGCUCCGAGAGUUGCUGAAGGCGCCAGCUCCACCCAUACCGACCAUCGGAGGAGAAAAGAUGGAGAUAACUGACAACACACACACACACAGACUUUCUUAGCGGGGUGAGGAGACAAAUUGUUGGAGGGAGGGACUCACCGCCCGAAUUCGGCUUGUUUUUGAGGAAGUCAGCAGGCCGAGAUUGCCGAGUUAAAAAUAGACAUUUAGGUGUGUUAAAGGGGGUUUUGAGGAAAAGGAACAGGGUGGUGACAAGGCUAA